Non-coding RNA from Schizosaccharomyces pombe (fission yeast), 357 nucleotides. The record is from the annotation of a GenBank genome assembly. NCBI's taxonomy places the organism in Eukaryota, Fungi, Ascomycota, Schizosaccharomycetes, Schizosaccharomycetales, Schizosaccharomycetaceae.
CUCAAUUUGCUCUUUCGUUCCUGUAAGCAUUUUCAAUUAUAAAGUAUGUGUAGAUCAAAAAAUUCCAAAUAUCAGAAGUAAAUAUCCUUUUAAGUGGGUAUUGCCCCUAUUUUUAAAUAACUAUUUUUGUCGACAGUUGCCUCCGGUAAAUGGAUUCAUGUGCUGUGUACUAAUUUGUGCGUCUCAACCAUAAAACGUUGAGUAGCCUAGUCAACCUUACUUGAAUGAUCGCCCUUUUCGCUACGGAUUUUUCUAUCCAAUAGGGACGGCAGGCAAAUCAGCGAAUAAUCACAAAGGGAUUUCCACUACACUUUGGAGCAACACCAUAGUUUCCGUGCUUCCAACGACACCGGACAG